GUUUUUCGCUUGAGGAUGAGCCCAUACGGGAUUAGCUAGUUGGUGAGGUAAUGGCUCACCAAGGCUACGAUCCCUAACUGGUCUUAGAGGAUGAUCAGUCACACUGGAACUGAGACACGGUCCAGACUCCUACGGGAGGCAGCAGUAGGGAAUAUUGCACAAUGGGGGAAACCCUGAUGCAGCGACGCCGCGUGAGUGAUGAAGGCCUUCGGGUCGUAAAGCUCUGUCGUAUGGGACUAACACAAUG
RNAcentral lists this ribosomal RNA (247 nucleotides) under uncultured Bdellovibrio sp. RNAcentral describes it as "partial 16S ribosomal RNA". It matches the Rfam family "Bacterial small subunit ribosomal RNA", at positions 210 to 456 of the family's 1533-position model. Lineage: Bacteria; Pseudomonadati; Bdellovibrionota; Bdellovibrionia; Bdellovibrionales; Pseudobdellovibrionaceae. The record is from RNAcentral.